AUAGCGUGCGACACUGGGCUUGGAGGCAGAGGCGGGCAUCACGUACGGCCUCCUGCGCUCGUCAACGGCACGUACCGAGCGAGGAGGAAAGCGUGCAGGUGCCAGAGGGCGACGCUCGGGGGAGCAGGAGCUGGAGCUGGCGCCGGAGCUGGCGUCCGAGUUGUGGGCGCACCGGCAUACCCGGUUGCAGUCCGGUGGCGUCCCUUGCAGCGGCGCCACCGAGACCGUCUACGAAGCAGACGGGCAUGAAAUGCGGAGCGUAGAUCGCAGCGAUCGUCGGUGUAUCCACUGCGUCAACAAUCGCGUGAAGCUGCGGUAUCGCGAAGCGAACUCGGGCAUCAACACCUAUUGAGUGCUGACAACGAAGGUGGAUGCAAGUGAGCGUGCGGCACAUGCACUGCCGUAUACAAGAGACAGAAGCAGGAAGCAGGUGCAGCAAAAGCCUGCAGCGGCAGGUGCUGACGAUUGUGACGAACUACCCAAACUUUGGAGCCUACGCUCGAGUUAGCGUACUCGACCAGCUCCAUUUCAUUUUGACCUGGAGGCAGAGGUAUUCACGGGAGGCAUGCGGUGAUCGGUAGACAAUCCCAGUUCCCGAUCGAGACCGCAUCAUGAUUCCAACGCCCUGGAACAAGCACAUUUGGAACCGCAAAGUGGUUCAGCUUCCACGUGGAGAAGCAGUACCCAGCUUUUCCGCUUUAUACACGCUCAAGCGGUAACCGUCAGCACGCCUCGCAUCCGUUCGUCGGUUUCAAAUGCGACCGUUGCCCUGGACACUCGUCCACGCUGCACCCGAAUAUCGCCCAGAUUCCGAGUCGCCCGAACAAACUGAGCAACAAAGCCACCUGGUGCAGCAUGGACUACAGUGCAGCGGACACCGCGGAUGCAUGAACGCGCGGCCUGAUACCAAACAGCUUAGCUACCAACCAUAUUUAUCGGAUGAGCGCGUGCCUAUCUUCGAACUAGCGCAUACCUCUCUCUCUCAAACCAAAAUUCCCCAUCAUGAUCCCGUUCCUUUGAGAGCCGCCAAGGGCCGCCUCGUGCGCGCUACGCUAUUCAAGAGCUCGCGACUGCCGUUCGGACACGUCCCUCAUCGGUGCCGGACCUUGCAGCAGAACCGGUCGUUGACGGGUGCAUCAUUUCGGGUACCGGUGGACACGAGCACACCAGAUUCCGAUCACCGUACACGUCAUCGAUGCGAGAGGUUCGCGGCCAGAACUUGCCGCGCGCGUAGAGCCAGCUUGCCGGGAAGGCGCCAAUCUCGCGCGGAUACGGCCGAUCCCAGGUAUCCGCACUGACCACCUCUGCCGUGUGUGGUGCAUACUUGAGCGGAUUGUGCUGCGGAUCCCAGCGACCCUGCUCAAUCUGGCGAAUCUCUUCGCGAAUCAUCAGCAUCGCAUCGCAAAACCGAUCGAGCUCAUCGAUACUCUCGCUCUCCGUCGGUUCAAUCAUAAGCGUUCCAGCCACCGGCCAUGACAUGGUAGGAGAAUGGAAUCCAUAGUCCUGAAGGCGUUUCGCCACGUCCGAUUCCGUAACACCUGCACUAAGCUUGAACGGACGUAGAUCCAGGAUAAACUCAUG
This 1581-nucleotide unclassified non-coding RNA is filed under the name Cyanidioschyzon merolae strain 10D. Its description in RNAcentral is "hypothetical transcript". Lineage: Eukaryota; Rhodophyta; Bangiophyceae; Cyanidiales; Cyanidiaceae. The record is from RNAcentral.